UAUCUGAGAAACUGAAAAACAAAACUUUCUUUCCCCUAAAUCUUCAGAUUCAAUUUCCGUUUUCUUAAUCUUUUUUUUUUUUAUUGUUCUAUUGUACCUUCGAUUAGCAAAUAAAGGAAGAGAUCUUAGUAAUUGACACUUAAACGAAGAGAGCCAUGAAUCCAACUGAACUACGAAAAGAACCGAAGUAAUCGGUUCCAAUCCAAAUCAAAAAAAAUUCGUGUUCCACUGAUUGGAGAUGAUAAGGCAAGGUAGCCGAUUAUCCUUAAAAGUCUAACAAAUCAAGUGAUGAUCACAAUCACAAAGAUAAGCAACAGCUUAUUUCUCUGAAACAUUUCUGAUUUUUCUGUUUUUGAUAUUGUUUACUAACAUUGUUUUCUUUCAUAGGUGAGGAAUAAUUCUCGAAUAUUAAAGUUGUCUUUGUUGAUCUGGCAAGAGUCAUCUGUUUGACAUAAGAUGAUCACAAAAAGGAUUCAUGUCAGAAAGCAGCUUAUCUGAAACAAUGACUAACCUACAACGAAAAAUAAACAACAUCAAGCUCAGUAUUUUGACACGAAACAAUCAAGCAGUCAUUCUGUUGGAAAAUCUCCAAAAAAGAAGGAUCCAAUUGAAGGAAUUCCGAAAUCCUUGCAUUUUUUUUAUGGCAAGUCUCAUUAUUUUCUGGAUCAAUAUUAACGGGUCAUUGAGUCGGGUCAAAAAACAAAUUCCGGGUCAAAAUUUUAACAAUACCCGACCCGAUUAGGAACCCCAAAAAGUGUUGCAAAAAUGUAUAGUAGAUAUGUUAUGAAGAUCAGAAGAUCAA
Arabidopsis lyrata subsp. lyrata is the source of this 802-nucleotide long non-coding RNA. RefSeq lists it as uncharacterized. NCBI's taxonomy places the organism in Eukaryota, Viridiplantae, Streptophyta, Magnoliopsida, Brassicales, Brassicaceae. The record is from RefSeq and is a predicted model, not a curated record. The transcript has 4 exons.